This 23-nucleotide microRNA is filed under the name Mus musculus (house mouse). RNAcentral describes it as "mmu-miR-3058-5p". The record is from miRBase by way of RNAcentral. Lineage: Eukaryota; Metazoa; Chordata; Mammalia; Rodentia; Muridae.
UCAGCCACGGCUUACCUGGAAGA